UAAAGGCCUGUGCUGUCAAAUAUCGCUCUGUGGGAUUCAGAGACGAGGAGCUGCUGAAACAUGCAGCCACUUGAAAAAUAACCACCUGAAGCACCAGGAGAAACAGAAGAGCUCAGGAAGGUCAUGACGUAUGUAAUGAGCACAGCGACCUAGGCCAAAAGCGAGAAGACUGGAGUCUUGUGGUGAGGGUAAGGCACUACCAGAUGCAUUCUUCGCGGCAUCUGGAAUAUAAGCCUGGAGUUUAGGUGAAGUCGCAGCUGGAGAAGUAGAACGUGGAUCGGGGAUGGUUAGCAAACCAGUUUCAACAGAUAUUUGAGUGAGAGAACAAGACAGAGUACUAGGAGGGAAAGAAGAG
Molecule: long non-coding RNA, 355 nt
Organism: Hyaena hyaena (striped hyena)
Lineage: Eukaryota; Metazoa; Chordata; Mammalia; Carnivora; Hyaenidae
Exons: 3
Source: RefSeq, a predicted model, not a curated record